UUGGACUUCAUUUUCAUCCACCUGUGCACCUAUUGUAGUCUUUGGUUGGGUUAGGAGGAAGUGGUCAUCCUNUCAGCAUUUGCUGGAUGUGAGGACUUGCAUUGUGAAAACNGUGCUGUCCUUUNUGUGAUCAUGAAAUCACUUUCUCACCAGAGUCUAUGUCUUUCAUUAUACUCUGUCGAAUGUCAUUGAAUGUCUUUACAUGGGCUUGUAUGCCUAUGAAAAUUGUAAUACAACUUUC
RNAcentral lists this ribosomal RNA (241 nucleotides) under uncultured fungus. RNAcentral's name for it is "partial contains 18S ribosomal RNA, internal transcribed spacer 1 and 5.8S ribosomal RNA". Lineage: Eukaryota; Fungi. The record is from RNAcentral.